GUGGGUCUGAAGUGCUGGAAUGCUCGGGAUGUCAAUGGCUGUCAGAUGUCAGGAUAGCCUAGAAGAUAAAUGAAUGGUUGCGACCCUGUGCCUCCUCCCAGAGUUCUCAGCUGCUGGGCUGUGGCAUUGGUAUGUUUACUUUCCGUGCCUCCUUCAACGGUCACCCUGAAGCCAAUCUUAAAAUCCUGUGACUGGGCAAGCAAGCUCUUCUAGACGUCGUUUGUACAACUCUACGGAAUGCAGUCAAUACCACCAUAAAGUCCACUUGUUUCAUGUCAUCCAGUUACGUCCUGCUGAUAUGGAUGGGCAGGUCCUGACUUUAUUUUGAAACAGAACCAGAGCAAAGCUCCGUGAUGCUGCAUGGCCACAGG
This 371-nucleotide long non-coding RNA is filed under the name Cricetulus griseus (Chinese hamster). RNAcentral describes it as "lncRNA (ENSCGRG00015038995.1)". The record is from RNAcentral. Lineage: Eukaryota; Metazoa; Chordata; Mammalia; Rodentia; Cricetidae.